RNAcentral lists this long non-coding RNA (984 nucleotides) under Coturnix japonica (Japanese quail). Its description in RNAcentral is "lncRNA (ENSCJPG00005011792.1)". Lineage: Eukaryota; Metazoa; Chordata; Aves; Galliformes; Phasianidae. The record is from RNAcentral.
AAAACCUACAUUCUUAUUACUAAACAUUUCCAGUAGAUCCAGAAUCUCACUCCAUUUUUUCUUCUAGUUUAGAUAAGCUGGAGAUUGCACUUCAGAAAGUCAAACUUCCCCUUAGAAACAUAUGGUGAUGCAAGUUGGAUGCAUGCUGAAAAGUAAAAUGAAAGCAGAAAAAAAAUCUUCCUCUGGUAGGACAAGCAAUUGUGGCUGAAACUGGACAAGUAUCAGCAUAGAGUUUGCUGUGUUGGAGAGAAUUCCUGUCAUGUACCCCCCACAUUUGCAACCCCAGUACCAUUCAUGCCAGUUCACAGAGCACAGCUAGCCCCUUGUAAUGAAGCAGUACAUGGCAUUUUACAAAACCACUAGUAUGCGCUUCCUAAAGGGUUCAGAGACCAGGGAGAUUCCUUCAUCCCCCUGAAAUCUAUUUUCAGUGAUUUGACAUCAUCCUCUCCUCUGUGAUUGAGCUCAGAUAAACUCAAAACUAUUCUCAUGCAAUCACCCUGUCAUGUGUGUGUCUAUAUCUUAAGAACAGCCAGGAUUGCCUCAUAUAUUGGAAGCUAAGCAUGUCAUGUGUUUGCGGUGGGUACAGAAUGUGAAGCAAUCGAGCUUUCAUAUAAGAACUCAGUAGCAGUACUCAAUUCAGAGUGCUAUUAAGCAAAAUGUUGAACCAGGGAAGUUAGUUCCACUUAACAAUCUGAUUAUCCUUUGAUAAUGUUAUUUUUCUGUUGUUUUUUUUUUUUGUUUUUUUGUUUGUUUGUUUGUUUGUUUCUUUUUCCUCAGUUGAUGUAAAAACCAUAAUUCUAUUGAAGCCAGCAGAGUACUUGACUUGUAGUAGCUGAAGAUCUAGCCCUAAGGUUAUGACAUUAUGCCUCUACUAAAACAUGUUUCUGUUUUUCAUUUAGUUACCUAAUGCUAAUAAUAGUCUGCAUUUUCUGAAUAACUAACAUGUAGGUAAAAGCACUUUUAAUAAAAAUACUCAAAUUAUCA